This 253-nucleotide ribosomal RNA is filed under the name uncultured Rikenellaceae bacterium. RNAcentral's name for it is "partial 16S ribosomal RNA". It matches the Rfam family "Bacterial small subunit ribosomal RNA", at positions 524 to 776 of the family's 1533-position model. The record is from RNAcentral. Lineage: Bacteria; Pseudomonadati; Bacteroidota; Bacteroidia; Bacteroidales; Rikenellaceae.
UACAUAGGGAGCAAGCGUUAUCCGGAUUUAUUGGGUUUAAAGGGUGCGUAGGCGGCAGAUUAAGUUAGAGGUGAAAUUCCGAGGCUCAACCUUGGCACUGCCUCUGAUACUGGUUUGCUAGCGAGUAGAUGCUGUAGGCGGAAUGUGUGGUGUAGCGGUGAAAUGCAUAGAGAUCACACAGAACACCGAUUGCGAAGGCAGCUUACAAAUCUAUAUCGGACGCUGAGGCACGAAAGCGUGGGGAGCAAACAGG